This 253-nucleotide ribosomal RNA is filed under the name uncultured bacterium. Its description in RNAcentral is "partial 16S ribosomal RNA". It matches the Rfam family "Bacterial small subunit ribosomal RNA", at positions 524 to 776 of the family's 1533-position model. The record is from RNAcentral.
UACGUAGGGCGCAAGCGUUGUCCGGAAUUACUGGGCGUAAAGCGCGUGUAGGCUGCUCUGCAAGUCGGAUGUGAAAGCCCUGGGCUCAACCUAGGAAGUGCACUCGAAACUGCAGAGCUUGAGUCUCGGAGAGGGUCGCGGAAUACUCGGUGUAGAGGUGAAAUUCGUAGAUAUCGAGAGGAACACCGGUGGCGAAGGCGGCGACCUGGACGAUGACUGACGCUGAGACGCGAAAGCGUGGGGAGCAAACAGG